GACGAACGCUGGCGGCGUGCUUAACACAUGCAAGUCGAACGGACAGGCCCUGCUUUUGUGGGGUGCUCGAUUGGCGAACGGGUGUGUAACACGCGUGUAACCCGUCCUUGACUUUGGGAUAACUUCUGGAAACUGCGGCUAAUACCGCAUAUGAGCUCCUGCUGCACGUUGGUGGUUGGAAAGUUUCGGCGGUUGGGGCUGGACUCGCGGCUUAUCAGCUUGUUGGUGGGGUAGUGGCUUACCCAGGCUUUGACGGGUAGCCGGCCUGAGCGGGUGACCGGCGACAUUGGGACUGAGGUACGGCCCAGACUCGUACGGGAGGGAGCAGUGGGGAAUAUUGCAGAAUGGGCGGAAGCCUGGUGCAGCAGCGCCGCGUGCGGGAUGACGGCCUUCGGGGUGUAAACCGCUUUCGCCUGUGACGAAGCGUGAGUGACGGUAAUGGGUAAAGAAGCACCGGCUAACUACGUG
This 468-nucleotide ribosomal RNA is filed under the name uncultured bacterium. Its description in RNAcentral is "partial 16S ribosomal RNA". It matches the Rfam family "Bacterial small subunit ribosomal RNA", at positions 28 to 507 of the family's 1533-position model. The record is from RNAcentral.